AUUUUUGAGGAUUUGAUCCUGGUCCAGGAUGAACGCUGGCGGCGUGGAUAAGGCAUGCAAGUCAUACGGACAGAGUUUAAGAUUAUAUCAAGGACUCUGUUAGUGGCGAACGAGUUAGUAACGCCUUGGUACGUACCCCGAAGACGGAAAUAACUCGCCGAAAGGCGGGCUAAUAUCCGAUAGCAUCGUGCUUCACUAUUGUUCAGCACUUUUAGCGAUUAGCGACUAGUAUUUAGCGACUAGUGAAAUAAAAUUUUUCUAGUGGCUAGUCACUAGUGGCUAAUGACUCGAGUGGCGAGCGGUAGCGAGGCACGAUUAAAUCUCGCAAGAGGCUUUGGGAGCGACCUAGGUCCGAUCAGCUAGUUGGUAGGGUAAUGGCCUACCAAGGCUAUGACCGGUAGGGGAGCUGAGAGGCUGUUCCCCAACGACGGAACUGAGAUACGGUCCGUACUCCUACGGGAGGCUGCAGUCGAGAAUAUUCGACAAUGGGCGAAAGCCUGAUCGAGCGACGCCGCGUGCAGGAAGAAGGGCUUCGGCCUGUAAACUGCUUUUUUGUUUCAAAAAGUUAUUGAUUAGAACAAGAAUAAGGGGCUGCAAACCUCGUGCCAGCAGCAGCGGUAAUACGAGGGCCCCGAGCGUUAUCCGGAUUUAUUGGGCGUAAAGAGUGCGUAGGAGGUCUGAUGCGUCUUUUGUUAAAUUCCAGAGCUUAACUCUGGAGCCGCAGGAGAUACGGUCAGACUAGAGGAUACCAGAGGUUGAUGGAACACAUGGUGUAGGGGUGAAAUCCGUUGAUAUCAUGUGGAACACCGAAGGCGAAGGCAAUCAACUGGGGUACUCCUGACUUUUAAGCACGAAAGCGUGGGGAGCAAAAAGGAUUAGAUACCCUUGUAGUCCACGCCCUAAACGAUGUCGGCUAGCUGUUUCGAGUAUCGACCCUCGGAGUGGCGAAGCUAACGCAUUAAGCCGACCGCCUGGGAAGUACGGCCGCAAGGCUAAAACUCAAAGGAAUAGACGGGGACUCGCACAAGCGGUGGAACAUGUGGUUUAAUUCGAUAGUAAACGAAGAACCUUACCAGGGCUUGAAAUCCAAACGAAAGGUUGCUGAAAGGCAAUCCUUCUCUCAAGGACGUUUGGACAGGUGUUGCAUGGUUGUCGUCAGCUCGUGGCUUGAGUUGUUCCCUUCAGUGGGGUAACGAGCGCAACCCUUGCCUCAAGUUAUUUUGUCUUGAGGGACUGCCGAGUUUUACUCGGAGGAAGGUGAGGAUGACGUCAAAUCCGCAUGACCCUUUGAUGCCCUGGGCUACACACGUGUUACAAUGGCCGGUACAAUAGGUUGCCAAGCCGUAAGGCGGAGCUAAUCCUAUCAAAACCGGCCUCAGUUCAGAUUGAGGGCUGAAACUCGCCCUCAUGAAGUCGGAAUCGCUAGUAAUCGUGGGUCAGCUAUACCACGGUGAAUACGUUCUCGAGUCCUGUACUCACCGCCCGUCACUGCAGGGGAGCCGGGAAUAGCCGAAGUCCAGUUAUGCUGGGUCAAGCUAGGUUCGGUGACAUGGCAGAAGUCGUAACAAGGCACGCGUAGCGGAAGCUGUGCGUGGAUUAUUUACAUU
Molecule: non-coding RNA, 1607 nt
Organism: Candidatus Harrisonbacteria bacterium
Lineage: Bacteria; Candidatus Harrisoniibacteriota
Source: Rfam